UGCAUCUUGGGACUCUGAAAAAUGUCAACUAAAAUUAAGGUCACGAUGACUUACUUUCAACAUUUUAUGGCUAUAUUUAAGUAUCUUAGUUAUUUAUUGGCUUAGAAUAAUCAAACUUUGUCAGUUGAUGCAUUUUGGGUUUUCCAAGAAUGUAGACCAAAAAGUAGUCCUAAUUGGCUAAGAAUCAUCAAACUUUGUCGGUUGAUGCAACUUGGGUCUUAGGAUACUUAGGGUUAGAGGCUUCAAAUACAAGUGAUAGGUUGUACAAUUUAUCAGAAGAGCGAUUCAAGGCCCUUGGGCCUCUUGUUUUUUUUUCAAGUCAGUUCUAAAAACAAGAGUUAUCAAUUAAAUAUGCAAAAUAUUGAUGUGGAAUAGACAAGCUUUUAUUAUCCUCAACUCACAAACCUUUGUUUAGUGUUUCCUAGCAGUACUAAGUUAAUAUCUGUUUUGUUGAAGUAAGAAAAGUAAGCAUUUUAUUUUGCUGUUAUUACAGGAUUUAGUGAUCCCUAUGUAUUGAUACAGUUUUGUCCAGAGCAUAUUUUCCAUGAUGUCCCAGUGCAGAAAACCAGCAUUAAGAAGAAAACACUCAACCCAGUGUUUGAUGAAUCAUUUGAAUUUAAUGUGUCAAUAGAGCAGUGUAGGAAGAGAGGAGCAGUGCUGGUGUUUACUGUGAUGGACCAUGAUUAUGUGUUUGAGAACGACUUCGCGGGAGAGGCGUAUGUGGAUCUGUGUAACAUUCCAGGGGUGGAUGGACAAGAUGUCUCCGGGUUCGAUUCCCUCGCUAUUACUGCCUUACCCUUAAUGCAGCCUCAACACAAAGAGAAGGGAGCUCUUGAUAUUUUAGCCUCUCGAUUGUGGGAUAGAGAUGCUCAAGAGUUUGUCAAGAAAAGGUCAAAGGUGGAAGAAAAAGCUGCAUGAUUGAUAAGUAUGAGAACCCUGUGAUGGCAGCUAAAAGAGAAUUUCUAGUCUUGGAGAUUUUUAACAGGACCGAGAUGAUGCUAGAAAGCAGAGCUGAACAGAUCAUCAUUCUAGUCAGUGCCACUACUAACUUUAACAACCUUAAAUUCUGGUUACAUUGAAGUGCUUUAAUAUUAUAGAUGGAGCUGUAUACAAUCAGGAAAAAACAAGAGUUACAAAAAAAAGAAAUGACUUUUUUGCAUAGAAGUGAAAGAUAUAUACUAGCUGAAGAGAUAAAUUCUUAAACCUCAAAUUUCUUUAAAAAUUUUCAAAUUAUUUUUUGUAUGUAUAGAACUUGUUUCUUAUUUGUAUUUAAUGAUAAUUUUCAAAUGUUUUUUAAGCAUCGUACAUUUCAUGAAGACCUGCUUUGAAACUUAAAAAGUAUUUCAUAAAAGUUGUAAUGUGAAUUUAAGUAGAAACUGCACACAUGUACAUGUAUGUCAAUCAAUUUUCAUUUUCACAUACAAAGUCUGUUGAUUGCAAUGUAACUAUUUGGAUGUGUAAAGAGUGUUUAAAGAGGAUUGAUUUUUUUUUUUCAAACAUUGGAUUCAGCUUAAUGAAUUAGUUGGAUCGAUUCAAGUUGAUGUUGUCCAACCUACGAGUAAGUAGAGAAUCUCAAAAUGAGAAAUAAUGAAUUAUAUGAAUUGAAAAAAGUGCAAUAUAUUGCUGAAAUCUUUUACAAAUUUUAAUCCAGAAAUAUUUAUAUGUUGAAUGUUUUACUCGACAAUGUAAACAGUGAUACACCCAUUAAAUUCGGAGUAAAUUGACAAAAAAUAUAUUGUAUUAUUAACAUAUCAAUUUUUAAGAGUUUGUCAAACAGUAUAUUUUCAAGUAAUUUACCAUUUGAUUGGAUAAAAAAAAUUGUCUAUAUCGUAUAACCUAUGUUGUCUACAUCACAGUGACUUGUGUCAAAAAUGCACCAAUCCACUUGACAUUACAUUUAAAAUUUGCUCAAUUUGAAGGAAUUUUUGAAAGAGAUAAUUUAACUCAAAUUAUAAGGAAUGAAUUUAAUAACUAGCCAGGUUAAACUUGUUUAACCUGGGUUGGAGUAAUUUACAAUUUUUUUUAUAAACUGCUUUGCAGUUCAUGGAGGCAUAAGCAUUCCAUUUUUGUUCUAGGCACAGCUCCUUUUGUUUUAGCCAUACAUGAAAUUCGAAAUGGGUCUGAAAUGUAAAGUUUUUGCAUUAAAUGCAUUUUUGACCGAAAGAUUGCUUAGAUCCAAACAGACUAUUAUGAUUCUUGGUCAUUACUGUUUGUUUGUAUAAUGGCAAAAUCACAACACUGAGAUGUUAACCAACAAUCUACUAUAGAUUACAUGACUAGAUCAAAGGAUAUGGCAAUUACAAUGUAAAAAGCAAUGAAGUAUCUUUGCAUCUUGACUAUCAUUCCAUUUAAAGUUAUCCAUUUUUAAAGUUAUCCACACUUGAAUAAAACAUUGUUUCAAUCUGUAAAAAAUUAAAGUCUCUAGUGUGUUGUGACUGCAUUUGUAUUUAUGUAUUUUUAAAUAACCUCAAUUUAAUAAGGUAUGUGCAAUUCUUUUUUUUUAAGUCUUUUUAUAUGUUAAAUUUUUAUUUUCUCUUUAAAAUGUGUAAUAAACAUGAAAUUUU
Molecule: long non-coding RNA, 2564 nt
Organism: Saccostrea cuccullata (small rock oyster)
Lineage: Eukaryota; Metazoa; Mollusca; Bivalvia; Ostreida; Ostreidae
Exons: 5
Source: RefSeq, a predicted model, not a curated record